RNAcentral lists this transfer RNA (65 nucleotides) under Sternaspis scutata. RNAcentral describes it as "tRNA-Ala". It matches the Rfam family "tRNA". From Rfam's summary of the family: Transfer RNA (tRNA) molecules are approximately 80 nucleotides in length. Their secondary structure includes four short double-helical elements and three loops (D, anti-codon, and T loops). Further hydrogen bonds mediate the characteristic L-shaped molecular structure. tRNAs have two regions of fundamental functional importance: the anti-codon, which is responsible for specific mRNA codon recognition, and the 3' end, to which the tRNAs corresponding amino acid is attached (by aminoacyl-tRNA synthetases). tRNAs cope with the degeneracy of the genetic code in two manners: having more than one tRNA (with a specific anti-codon) for a particular amino acid; and 'wobble' base-pairing, i.e. permitting non-standard base-pairing at the 3rd anti-codon position. RNAcentral also lists the same sequence under 2 other names. Lineage: Eukaryota; Metazoa; Annelida; Polychaeta; Terebellida; Sternaspidae. The record is from RNAcentral.
GUUUUUUUAGUUUAGAUAGAACACUUGAUUUGCACUCAAAAAGAAAGAAACUUUCUUAAAAAACA